Molecule: long non-coding RNA, 1996 nt
Organism: Fukomys damarensis (Damara mole-rat)
Lineage: Eukaryota; Metazoa; Chordata; Mammalia; Rodentia; Bathyergidae
Source: Ensembl
CUGGGGGUGUUUUAUGUUGCCAGCUGAGUUGUGACUCUCAGCAACCGUCUCCUAGCAACCGGCAUGCGGGGUACCUUGCUCAGCCAGGAUGGGCGGCUGGGACAGAGGCUGCCAGGGAGUCUAAAGGUCCUCUCAACCACUGCCUGGCUCUGCUGGUUAAACCACCUAGACCAAGGCUGCUCCUGGCAUGAACUUGUCAACUUCUGCAAGGGCAUCCCCCAUCCACAGCCACCAAGUGGUGACAUUCACAGUGCGACCUUGACCUUUGGAUGUGGGCGGCAUGAGGCAGCACUUCUCCCGGUGAUACCGUCAUCCUGUAGGCCCCAGUCCUGCUGCUGGGGCCUGUCCUGUGCAUUGUAGAGCAGUCACAGCAGCGACCCCCAUCAUGACGACCAGAAAUAUCUCCAGGCAUCCCCACGUGCUCCAGGAGGCAGGUGCCAAGUCACCCGGGGUUGAGGAUCCAUCUUUCAGAGGAAGAUGCAUCUUUUAUUGUCAUGUGCCGUUUUUGAGGCGGGCUUGCCGGUCAUGGGAGCGUUGAGUGGGGAAGACAGAAAUGUUGCCUUGGGAGUGACUAGGGGGAUCCCGGGAUGUCAUGGGGUCACUUUUCCAGGAGGCGGUGUCUCCAGCAAGCUGAAGGGCUAGAGGAACCGCAUGGGCACAGGGGAAUGGGGGCCCCAUCAGGCUGUGCAGUGGGGGUGGGAGGGAGGAAGCAUGGCUCCUUCCUUUCUCCUGCAUGGGGUUUGCCUCCCUGGGAUUGUACCUGAACAGUGAGCUACACACCACCGUCAUCUUCAUCUCCGCGGACAUGGCAUUCUGGGACCCUCCCCAAGCCUGGGCUCCCCCGCACCUGCCUCGGUGGUGGAAGUGUGCCCAGGGGGCCUGGGCACCAGCUGAGCCAAUCCCUGCCCCAGAGGACAAAGCCUUCUACUCUGAGUGUCCACACUUGAGGCUGCUCCUGUGGUGAGAAGGCCUUGGGGGCUGGACAACCUCCUGCGCAGGGCCCCAACCCCACCCCACAUCCCCAGCAGCACUGCUCCUGCCACUCAGGACCCUCACAGUGCUGACUGCCUCUAAUCCUCACUCAUUCAUUGGUCUGCAGCAACAUUGUCCUGUAGAAAUUUCUGAAAAUGGCUUAUCUGCUCGCUGGAGAACCACCACAGCUCCCUGUGGUUACUGAGCACUCUGAAUGCAGCCAGUGUGACCAAGGACCUGAAAACUUAAUUGUAUUUCAUGUUAAUUAAUUUCAAUUUAAGUAGCCACAGGUGACUAAGGACGCUGUAUCAGAUCUCGCAUCUAGUGAGGCCUUUGCCUUGGGGACAGAGCUGAGAGGAACUUGCAGUGCCUUCCUUCCCUCCCUCUUCCCCCUCUCCUUCCACCCUCCCUUCCCUUCUCCUGUCUCCCCACCCCGUAUUUCCUGAGCACCAGUCACGUGCCGCGUGCUCCUACCACCCGCUCUGGCCAUUCCUGGUGUCCUCUGGCACUGUGGAGUGGCUGAGGGGAAGACAGUGAAUAAACAACCGUGUGCACAGAACCUGGGCCGGUGCGACAGGGGGCAGGGAAGGUCACAGUGGCCACUGAGGACGUGGGCCUGGAGCUGGGAGCGGGAGGGUGAGGAGCCACACUGCCUUCCUACUGUGAAGGCCCAGAGUUUGGCUGUGUGGGGAGGAAGUCAUGAGGAAGAGGCCAGCACAGACCCGAGGGACAGGUGAGGAGCCUGGAUUGUGCUUGCUAGGUGACAGCGUACCGUUCGUGGUAGGCAGUAACGUGUGUGUUAGCCUGUUUGAUUUCCGUCUAAAUACUGUGUUGGAGAGGAUGCGGUGGGUGGAAGAGUGCCCCCCAAAUCAUGUCCUUUGCAGACAUAGUUCGUUAAGGGUCUUGAGAUGAACAUCCUGGGGUCAGGGAGGUCCCUAAAUCCCAGCAGGAGGUGGAGGACAGCUCUACAGCUGGGACCCAAGGGUCACUGCUGCACCAGGAGCUGGGAAAGGUAUGACGGGGC